CAAAAGAAACAAAAGUUAAACUGUUAGCAAGGUCCCUGCUGUUCUUGAAAUUGUGCCAAAGGUUUUCUCUACAACUGUGAUUUACCUCAUUCUUCUUUUUCUUAAACAGUCCGAGGGUUUUGUGGAUUCUAAGUGGCUAGUGAGAACAUGCAUGAAAUGCAAAUUAUUUCACAGAUGGGAAAUAUUAAAAGUGGAACACUGUGCUCAAUGUAUACAAAGAGCUCAAAUCCAGCACUAGAGGUUGGACGUAAGCAACAGGCAAUUGACUGUGGUUGUUAAUCAUAAUCCAGAAGCAAACCAAAUGAAAAGGAAGUUUAGACAGUACAGUGUGGAGUAUCUGAAAUGGAUUUAUACCAG
Molecule: long non-coding RNA, 357 nt
Organism: Hypanus sabinus (Atlantic stingray)
Lineage: Eukaryota; Metazoa; Chordata; Chondrichthyes; Myliobatiformes; Dasyatidae
Exons: 3
Source: RefSeq, a predicted model, not a curated record